GGGUGGUGGAAAUCUGGGGUUCUGGAGCACAUGAGGGAGCAUCAGCCCCUGAGAGCGGCUGGAGAAUCCCUCGAUGGAGAAUCCCAGAUCCUGGUGUGACCCAAGGGCAGCACUCUGGGAAGCAGAGCACGCAGACACGAGCCUUUGCACGGGGGCUGCAAGGGGAUGGGAUCUGCGUGUGCAGCCCUCCAUGGAAUCAUGGAAUCAUGGAAUCAUGGAAUGGUUUGGGCUGAAAGGGACCUUAAAGCUCAUCCAGUUCCAACCCCCUGCCAUGAGCAAGGACACCUUCCACUAGCCCAGGCUGUUAAAAAAUCAUGCCCAGACUUCUGCAUGCAGGACUGAGAAUCAUUUUAGAUUCCCUGAAGCCUGACUCAUGGAGUGCUGCAGGUUCAGCGUGAAUCCUGGAGGGUUUUGCAUCUGGGAUGAUAAAUCCUGAUGGAGCUGCCUCUUGUAGCUGCCCUGGGCUCUUCCACAUCUUAAUAAUAGUCCUGAUAAUAGGGGAGAAAAAGGAUGUGAAAUAAAGAUUAUCAAAAAGUCAA
Long non-coding RNA from Vidua macroura (Pin-tailed whydah), 539 nucleotides. RefSeq lists it as uncharacterized. The transcript is spliced from 3 exons. The record is from RefSeq and is a predicted model, not a curated record. NCBI's taxonomy places the organism in Eukaryota, Metazoa, Chordata, Aves, Passeriformes, Viduidae.